RNAcentral lists this transfer RNA (71 nucleotides) under Rattus norvegicus (Norway rat). It matches the Rfam family "tRNA". Rfam says of the family: Transfer RNA (tRNA) molecules are approximately 80 nucleotides in length. Their secondary structure includes four short double-helical elements and three loops (D, anti-codon, and T loops). Lineage: Eukaryota; Metazoa; Chordata; Mammalia; Rodentia; Muridae. The record is from Rfam by way of RNAcentral.
GGGGAUGUAGCUAAGUUGGUAGAGUGUUUGCCUAGCGUACAAAGCUCUGGGUUUGAUCCCUAGCAUGCCCU